RNAcentral lists this small RNA (136 nucleotides) under Pseudomonas mohnii. RNAcentral's name for it is "Pseudomonas sRNA P11". It matches the Rfam family "Pseudomonas sRNA P11". From Rfam's summary of the family: P11 is located between a putative threonine protein kinase and putative nitrate reductase and appears to be conserved in several Pseudomonas species. P11 has a predicted Rho independent terminator at the 3'end but the function of P11 is unknown. The record is from RNAcentral. Lineage: Bacteria; Pseudomonadati; Pseudomonadota; Gammaproteobacteria; Pseudomonadales; Pseudomonadaceae.
AUCUGUCCGACUUGGCACAAGCACUGCAUUAGCCUUCCCAUCACACAUAACGUGCAGGCUUCAACGACGAAGACUGCGCUUCCCGAGAGAACGGGACCGGACAAAGGCGUCCCCGUCAGGCAACUGGCGGGACGCC